GCGUUGACUGAGUCUCACUUCACGUGGUGGUUAACGUGAAGUGCACUCAAAAAGCCCACCUCAGGAGAUACCCUACGCGCCUCUACGACCGAGGUGAGAAUAUAAAGGAGUUUACUGUGCCCCUCUAAUAGGCUAGUCCACGAAACCCCGCCACUGCAGUAGCUAAUCUUUAUUUUAUCUACCACCUGAUUUAUAAAAUCCUUAUCUGCAUGACAUCGUAAUUUAUCGCAAUCUAGGCUCCCAAGACUGAAUACAUAGUAUAUAUAAUUUUGAUACAAAUACCGACUUUGCCAUUCAUGCUCACAUAUUGUUAUAAGCCAUAUAAUUUAAAACACAAUUUAUAACACAAGCAGGCAGUCUCCAAUUACUCUAUUUUCAAAACCAAUAUUCAAUUUUCCAGAAAAUUAAUAAAAUCAUUUUAUAAAAUCACAAUUUCUGCUAAAACAUAGCAAUUUACCAUUUAAACCCAUUUUCUAUAAAAUCACAUAAUUGUAUAAAACUACUCUAGAUAAUUAAGAUGAUAAUAAAUUCACUCACAAUAUUAGGAGUAGAAAUACUCCUAUUUUCAGUCUGCGGGUACAGUCCUUUACCCGUAUCCAAUGGCUCACCACCUAGCCAUAAUCCAUGACACAUAUUCCAAUUAAAUUGUGUCUAACAGUCAUAAGCUAUUUCAGGCUCGAUAUAUAUGCAUGAUAUGAAAUGAAAAAUGCACGGGUAGCCAUCUAGACCCGGUAUUGGCCUAAGUCGAUUUUUCAUCCGAUAAAUUGGCCAAUGCGUCCAAUUUCACUCCAACUUGCUCCAUUUCUUUUCCAAUCCCUCAAUUCACCAAGCACAACUAAUUAACACACAAUUAGGUGAAAUUUAUCUUCACUUUUCUUCUUGGAACUUUCGGCCAACAAUGGUACACUAACUCCGUGAUUUUUCCUACUUAAUUUUCUCUCCAUAAUUCAUUAAUUCCUACACCAAAAACUAUUAUUUCUUAAUCAAAUCACCUAGAAUAACAUCCCAUUCUUCCUCAUUAUUCACUUAGAGAAUUCGGCUAUUGAUGGGCACCAAACCUUUGGUGGUUUUCUUCACUUGUUUUCAUGCUACACAUCAUUAAUCACCUAAAAACACUAACAUACCUAAAAAUCAAACCAAUCCAAGAUCAUUCUCUCUCCAUACCCAUUUUGACCAGCCAUGAAUUCAUCAUGAAAACAUGUAAUUUAACCAUGGAAAUUAAGGGACAAUGCAUGGGUAAGGUAAAUCACUAACAAAAUCAAAGAAAUUUUACCUUUGCUUGAUCAAAUCCUUGAAUUCCAACACUUUCUCUUUGAUUUUUCCCACCUAGGGUUUGUUCUUCCUUGGUUUCUCUUA
Molecule: long non-coding RNA, 1356 nt
Filed under: Theobroma cacao (cacao)
Lineage: Eukaryota; Viridiplantae; Streptophyta; Magnoliopsida; Malvales; Malvaceae
Description: long non-coding RNA (TCAC_LNC005373)
Source: RNAcentral